UUUGAUCCUUUCAAAAAUUAUGCUAUAACAUACAGUGUAUGCUGUGUGAUCUAUUUAUGUAUAUCACAUAUUUAAGGAUGCAGCAUACUCUGUGGGGUUAUAGUUUCUUUUGCGCGUUGCAAACAUGGAAGUCUUAAUAAUGGAUUCUUUAUGCAUCGUGUAAAGUUUUGUAAAGGGGAUUUGUUGCACACAUAGUGAGCAUUUAAAAUAUCCCUCAUUAUCCUUUCGUUCAUGAAAGAGAUAUGGUGUGGUUGCUUUUGUAAUUGCAGCUACUAUAUAUAUCUCGUUAAAAAGUGGACGGGAAUGCACAGAUGAGGAAGAGGAUAUUAUAAUAUCUAAAUCUUUGUUUGUGCAGGAAUAUACUGAGUGAUGUUUUAUGCUCUAAUUGGAUAGUGUGUAAUGAGUGUGACCCCUUUUAUAUAUAUGAUUUUUGUCCUAGACCUGAAAUCAGA
Molecule: unclassified non-coding RNA, 452 nt
Filed under: uncultured Eimeria
Lineage: Eukaryota; Apicomplexa; Conoidasida; Eucoccidiorida; Eimeriidae
Description: sequence contains ITS2
Source: RNAcentral